UCGUAAGAAUUGAUAUUGAUUCCUCGGAAUUCAACUACUCUUCGGGAAGGGAUGAAGUGGUCGUCCUAAUACCAGUGCGGGAAGAAUGCUUCUUCGAGCGAGCCAAGGAGAUUUUUGCUGUUAGGGGCCGAUGACAGACCUUGGAAAAGCUGCGGCGGUGGGCGAAUAUAGAGGCGUCGAAUACACAGUGUAUAGGCGAUGGGAUUGAGCAAGUUUGCAUGCUAAGUCCUUGUCUUACAUAUGCAACCCUUCCACCAGACAAUCCAGGAGCCCUCCCUAUGUUAAAAGUGCCGGGAACCAAUCCAAUGGUGGGAAUGGUGGUGAGAGCAAUUCGAGUUCCCAGGUUUACAUCACCGGCGGAAUGUCCGACGCGGCGACAAGCCUUACCAGCCAAUUGUAGAAACGUAUAAAUCGGUUCGCGACGAGCCGUACUGGUCGUGUGGAUUCCCAGAGAGAGAAGGCACUCAAGUGGGACGCUUUGUUGGAUGAUGUCAGCCCGAACUUACAGCAUGAUGGGUUCGAAAUUUCGAUCAAAGAUGGAAAGAAUCUGACCGUCCCGACAGCGGAGCUGCUAAAAAUGAGAAAUCAUCUAACAGGAUUAUGAGAUAAGUACCAUAAUCAAUCCUCGAGGAGCUCCGUUAGAUGGGCCGUAUAUAGAGUUAUAAGGUGUGGGCAGAUGACAUGGAAUUUAACUUCUCUGAGGUUAUUCUCUGAGGUUGUCAGUUGGAAUGUUUGCUUUGAUUUUGGAAUGUAUGCUAUGAUGUUUAAAAAUAAUUUUUGUGGGAGUCCAUAAUUGUCUUUAUAAUUGGGACUUGGGAGUUGAUAGGCUGUCCUAUGUUCAUCAUUUUAUAUCUGAAAAUGUAAGUGUGGUUAUGUUGUGUAUUAUAUCACCACCAGACCGGCGAAUAUCACUCUCGAUUCCGCCGGGAACCACUACUAUAACUGCACUCUCAGCCAGAACUUAACUGUAACAGUAUAGACUCGUCAGCUGGUGGCAGGGCAAAUUCACCGGCCACCCCCACCACGGUACCACCCCCUCGUGUGCAACUUCUCAGCCAGAUGCUUGUGCACAAACCACCAAUGAUGAAAGCCCUAUGCGACCACCAUGACCCCACCUCCUCUUGAUUCUGCAUCAGUUUCUUUGACUGCCAUCGUCUUGCUUUCUCUUAUUGUCCACUUCAGUAGCCUUUAUUCUCCAAGGGAAAAAAAUACUAAUUUUUGGGUAUAUUUUUCGUACGGUACUUUACAAUAAACUUUGUUUUGGAUUUAUUGUAAUUUACACAUCUCAAUUUUGUAUUAGAUUGUAAUGUUAAGCAUAUUGUUUCUUUCGCGGUUGAUCAGUAUUUUACUGUGAGAAUAAUUAUGUUUAAUUCAUGUGAAAAGACAAAUGUAUUUGUUGUUCUA
Molecule: non-coding RNA, 1404 nt
Organism: Erythranthe guttata (spotted monkey flower)
Lineage: Eukaryota; Viridiplantae; Streptophyta; Magnoliopsida; Lamiales; Phrymaceae
Source: RefSeq, a predicted model, not a curated record